This 28-nucleotide small RNA is filed under the name Bombyx mori (domestic silkworm). RNAcentral describes it as "ovarian small RNA-10810". The record is from RNAcentral. Lineage: Eukaryota; Metazoa; Arthropoda; Insecta; Lepidoptera; Bombycidae.
AAUCUCUGAAGUGCUUUAUGAUGGACCC